This 253-nucleotide ribosomal RNA is filed under the name uncultured bacterium. Its description in RNAcentral is "partial 16S ribosomal RNA". It matches the Rfam family "Bacterial small subunit ribosomal RNA", at positions 524 to 776 of the family's 1533-position model. The record is from RNAcentral.
UACGUAGGGCGCAAGCGUUGUCCGGAAUUAUUGGGCGUAAAGAGCUCGUAGGCGGCCUGUCGCGUCCGCUGUGAAAUCCCGGGGCUUAACCCCGGGCGUGCAGUGGAUACGGGCUGGCUGGAGGCAGGCAGGGGAGAACGGAAUUCCCGGUGUAGCGGUGAAAUGCGUAGAUAUCGAGAGGAACACCUGCGGCGAAGGCGGGUUGCUGGGCCGACACUGACGCUGAUGCGCGAAAGCCAGGGGAGCGAACGGG